UGGACAAAUUAUUAUAUUCGACUAUAUUCACGACACGAAACAGGGGAUUACACUGUUUUUAAACGGAAAGUGAAUCAAUUAAUAUAAUAGACUCCU
Molecule: microRNA precursor, 96 nt
Filed under: Nicotiana sylvestris (wood tobacco)
Lineage: Eukaryota; Viridiplantae; Streptophyta; Magnoliopsida; Solanales; Solanaceae
Description: MIR6152 microRNA precursor family
Rfam family: MIR6152 microRNA precursor family
Source: Rfam by way of RNAcentral